Long non-coding RNA from Amphiprion ocellaris (clown anemonefish), 1207 nucleotides. The record is from Ensembl. NCBI's taxonomy places the organism in Eukaryota, Metazoa, Chordata, Actinopteri, Pomacentridae.
UUCAAAAGUUUGAAGUCGCUUAGAAAUGUCCUUAUUUUUGAAACAAAAGCAUUUUUUUUCAAUGAAGAUAACAUUAAAUUAAUACGUACAGUCUAGACAUUGUUAAUGUGGUAAAUGACUAUUCUAGCUGGAAUGGCUGAUUUUUAAUGUAAUGUCUACAUAUUAUCUACACAGUAUCUACAUAGGGGCAUAGAGACCACUGUUCUCUCUAAACUGCUGACACCGCGCACAGAAAAUCUGCUGCGCACACAAAAAAAAAUCCAACCUAAAUUGUAAAUAAAAUAAACACGUAACAAUUCAUUCUGUUCUAUUUUUCAGUGUGAGUCAGUGAGUGACGGUGACUGGCUGCUGCAGCCAAUGAUGCGAUUCACAUACGUAUUUACCAUAGACUGUAUAUAAUGGUAUUUACGUAGCUAAUCAACAUCAGGCGUCCUUAUGUGCAGCCAUCGUUGUUCUCAUAGAUAUGAAUGAGUAGAUAGGACACGCCCCUUUGAGCUGCGUGCUACAGCGAGGCUAAGCUAGUGGGGGAAAAGUUUCAGUGCAUUCCGUUGAUGUAGAUGGUGUGAAAAUGGAAACAAGUAUGCCGGCUCACUGUACUGCAUACAGUUACACACUACGUCGUACGAUUGAGACAAGGAAACUUGGAAUGACUUUUCAUAGGUGAUGAUUGGGAUUACAGACAGUUCUUUAGGACUGCUCUCAAAUAAUUGAAAUGUUACUAAACAAGGUUAUACUUAUCAAAUUAAAUAGCUCUGGUCUCCAGUAUAUUGGCGAAUUCGGUUCUUUGUACUUAAUUUAUUAGCAUGAUUUCUUUUAAUAUGUUGUCUACAGACUUAAUUACUUCUCUGUCUACUUUUCUUACUCCAUGUAGGUUUCCCAGAGACUAUGGGUUGAGGAGGAAUUGGAAGUUUGUCGGCUUAGACCUGUUGUCAUUCCAUCAGUGUUAAACUUCCCGGCUCAUCUUGGAAGAGUACGUGCCAGAAAGACCACGACCAAGCAGCCUUGAGAUCUUAGGCAGCGUCUCCCUCAGACCAAAGAACUACAGACUCUUCACAACCUGCUCAAACUCUUGGUACAGGACCUCACCACACGGGUCAAGAAGGUUUCUGUCUCAUUUCUACUCUGAAGCUCACCUUCUCCUGCUCAAACUGCUGACAAAUGUUUCUGCUGCUCUAAAGUCUGCUCUCCAGAACUUCCUAAAAACUCU